RNAcentral lists this ribosomal RNA (578 nucleotides) under uncultured bacterium. Its description in RNAcentral is "bacterial SSU rRNA". It matches the Rfam family "Bacterial small subunit ribosomal RNA", at positions 338 to 916 of the family's 1533-position model. The record is from RNAcentral.
CCUACGGGAGGCAGCAGUGAGGAAUAUUGGUCAAUGGGCGCAAGCCUGAACCAGCCAUCCCGCGUGCAGGAUGAAGGCCCUAUGGGUCGUAAACUGCUUUUAUACGCCAAGAAAAAACACCACGAGUGGUGGACUGACGGUAGUGUAUGAAUAAGCAUCGGCUAACUCCGUGCCAGCAGCCGCGGUAAUACGGAGGAUGCAAGCGUUAUCCGGAUUCAUUGGGUUUAAAGGGUGCGUAGGCGGCUUUUUAAGUCAGUGGUGAAAUCUUGCCGCUUAACGGUAAAAUUGCCAUUGAUACUGAAAAGCUUGAGUACAUUUGAGGUAAGCGGAAUGUGUAGUGUAGCGGUGAAAUGCUUAGAUAUUACACAGAACACCAAUUGCGAAGGCAGCUUACUAAACUGUUACUGACGCUGAUGCACGAAAGCGUGGGGAGCGAACAGGAUUAGAUACCCUGGUAGUCCACGCCGUAAACGAUGCUCACUCGCUGUUUGCGAUACACAGCAAGCGGCCAAGCGAAGGCAUUAAGUGAGCCACCUGGGGAGUACGAUCGCAAGGUUGAAACUCAAAGGAAUUGACGG